This 253-nucleotide ribosomal RNA is filed under the name uncultured bacterium. RNAcentral's name for it is "partial 16S ribosomal RNA". It matches the Rfam family "Bacterial small subunit ribosomal RNA", at positions 524 to 776 of the family's 1533-position model. The record is from RNAcentral.
UACAGAGGGUGCAAGCGUUAAUCGGAAUUACUGGGCGUAAAGCGCGCGUAGGUGGCUUGUUAAGUUGAAUGUGAAAGCCCCGGGCUCAACCUGGGAACUGCAUCCAAAACUGGCAAGCUAGAGUACGGUAGAGGGUGGUGGAAUUUCCUGUGUAGCGGUGAAAUGCGUAGAUAUAGGAAGGAACACCAGUGGCGAAGGCGACCCCCUGGACUGAUACUGACACUGAGGUGCGAAAGCGUGGGGAGCGAACAGG